Molecule: ribosomal RNA, 253 nt
Filed under: uncultured bacterium
Lineage: Bacteria
Description: partial 16S ribosomal RNA
Rfam family: Bacterial small subunit ribosomal RNA
Source: RNAcentral
UACGUAGGGGGCAAGCGUUGUCCGGAAUCAUUGGGCGUAAAGCGCGUGUAGGCGGUUCAGUAAGUCUGCUGUGAAAGUCCAGGGCUCAACCCUGGGAUGCCGGUGGAUACUGCUGGACUAGAGUGCGGAAGAGGCGAGUGGAAUUCCCGGUGUAGCGGUGAAAUGCGCAGAUAUCAGGAGGAACACCGGUGGCGAAGGCGGGUCUCUGGGCCGAUACUGACGCUGAGGAGCGAAAGCGUGGGGAGCGAACAGG